Molecule: ribosomal RNA, 451 nt
Filed under: uncultured bacterium
Lineage: Bacteria
Description: bacterial SSU rRNA
Rfam family: Bacterial small subunit ribosomal RNA
Source: RNAcentral
UACGGGAGGCAGCAGUAAGGAAUAUUGGUCAAUGGGCGCAAGCCUGAACCAGCCAUGCCGCGUGCAGGAAGACGGCCCUCCGGGUUGUAAACUGCUUUUAUACCGGAAUAAACCUCCCUACGUGUAGGGAGCUGAAUGUACGGUAGGAAUAAGGAUCGGCUAACUCCGUGCCAGCAGCCGCGGUAAUACGGAGGAUCCGAGCGUUAUCCGGAUUUAUUGGGUUUAAAGGGUGCGUAGGCGGCCUGUUAAGUCAGGGGUGAAAGACGGUGGCUCAACCAUCGCAGUGCCCCUUGAUACUGACGGGCUUGAAUUAACUAGAGGCAGGCGGAAUGUGACAAGUAGCGGUGAAAUGCAUAGAUAUGUCACAGAACACCGAUUGCGAAGGCAGCUUGCUAUGGUUAUAUUGACGCUGAGGGCACGAAAGCGUGGGGAUCAAACAGGAUUAGAUACC